This 492-nucleotide ribosomal RNA is filed under the name uncultured bacterium. Its description in RNAcentral is "partial 16S ribosomal RNA". It matches the Rfam family "Bacterial small subunit ribosomal RNA", at positions 29 to 507 of the family's 1533-position model. The record is from RNAcentral.
AGUGAACGCUGGCGGUAGGCCUAACACAUGCAAGUCGAACGGCAGCACAGUAAGAGCUUGCUCUUACGGGUGGCGAGUGGCGGACGGGUGAGGAAUACAUCGGAAUCUACUUUUUCGUGGGGGAUAACGUAGGGAAACUGACGCUACUACCGCAUACGACCUACGGGUGAAAGCAGGAGAUCUUCGGACCUUUCGCGAUUGAAUGAGCCGAUGUCGGAUUAGCUAGUUGGCGGGGUAAAGGCCCACCAAGGCGACGAUGCGUAGCUGGUCUGAGAGGAUGAUCAGCCACACUGGAACUGAGACACGGUCCAGACUCCUACGGGAGGCAGCAGUGGGGAAUCUUGGACAAUGGGCGCAAGCCUGAUCCAGCCAUACCGCGUGAGUGAAGAAGGCCUUCGGGUUGUAAAGCCCUUUUGUUGGGAAAGAAAAGAAGCAGAUUAAUCCUCCGCCGUUCUGACGGUACCCAAAGAAUAAGCACCGGCUAACUUCGUG